Molecule: ribosomal RNA, 432 nt
Filed under: uncultured bacterium
Lineage: Bacteria
Description: partial 16S ribosomal RNA
Rfam family: Bacterial small subunit ribosomal RNA
Source: RNAcentral
ACGAACGCUGGCGGCAUGCCUAACCCCUGCAAGUCGAACGCGACCUUCGGGUCUAGUGGCGCACGGGUGCGUAACGCGUGGGAACCUGCCCUUAGGUUCGGAAUAACUCCCCGAAAGGGGUGCUAAUACCGGAUAAUGUCUUCGGACCAAAGAUUUAUCGCCUUUGGAUGGGCCCGCGUUGGAUUAGCUAGUUGGUAGGGUAAAAGCCUACCAAGGCGACGAUCCAUAGCUGGUCUGAGAGGAUGAUCAGCCACACUGGGACUGAGACACGGCCCAGACUCCUACGGGAGGCAGCAGUGGGGAAUAUUGGACAAUGGGCGAAAGCCUGAUCCAGCAAUGCCGCGUGAGUGAUGAAGGCCUUAGGGUUGUAAAGCUCUUUUACCCGGGAUGAUAAUGACAGUACCGGGAGAAUAAGCUCCGGCUAACUCCGUG